Molecule: non-coding RNA, 29 nt
Filed under: Macaca fascicularis (crab-eating macaque)
Lineage: Eukaryota; Metazoa; Chordata; Mammalia; Primates; Cercopithecidae
Also listed under: 3 other names
Source: RNAcentral
UGUUAACCGAAAGGUUGGUGGUUCGAGCC